This 8477-nucleotide long non-coding RNA is filed under the name Arabidopsis lyrata. Its description in RNAcentral is "long non-coding RNA (ALYR_LNC000845)". Lineage: Eukaryota; Viridiplantae; Streptophyta; Magnoliopsida; Brassicales; Brassicaceae. The record is from RNAcentral.
ACUGAGAGAAUUAUAUUUUCUAAAUCUUGUUUAUUGAUUUCAUAGGCAUAUUCUAAUAAUGGCUCUAUACAUUGGAUGUGCAGACCCUGUAAAGAGGGGUCAACUUGAUUGGAGAAAACGCUAUAACAUUAUCGAGGGAAUUACUCGAGGGAUUUUAUAUCUUCAUCAAGAUUCACGGCUCACAAUCAUACAUCGUGACCUCAAAGCGAGUAACAUUCUCUUAGAUGCAGAUAUGAACCCGAAAAUCGCAGAUUUUGGAAUGGCAAGGAAUUUCAGAGUGGACCAGACUGAAGACAAUACAGGAAGAGUAGUUGGAACAUUGUAAAUAAUCGUCCAUUUCACUAACAUUCUGUCUGUCCUUUUUUUUUUCCUGAUAAAACUAAAAGUGAUAUGUGCUGUGUUUUGCAGUGGUUACAUGCCUCCCGAGUAUGUGGCGAAUGGGCAGUUCUCGAUGAAAUCUGAUGUUUAUAGUUUCGGAGUAUUGAUUCUGGAGAUAAUUGUUUGCAAAAAGAGCAGUAGCUUCCACCAGAUAGAUAGUUCAGUAGGCAACCUGGUCACAUAUGUUAGUACUAAAAAGCCAAUGCAAGCUCCAACUUCUUUUUACUCUUUUAAACUGUGACCAUGGCCCUAAACUUUGGUUUCUUGAUAAAUGACUUACAGGUUUGGAGGCUUUGGAACAAUGGAUUAUCGUUGGAACUCAUAGACCCGGCCAUAGGGGAGAAUUAUGAUAAAGAUGAAGUCAUUAGAUGCAUCCACAUCGGGUUAUUGUGCGUUCAAGAAAAUCCUGCAGAUCGUCCAACCAUGUCCAAUGUUUUCCAGAUGCUCACUAAUAAUUCAAUCACUCUGCCCGUUCCUCAAACACCUGGAUUUGUCUUCACGGUCAGAUCCGAGCCAAACCCAUUAGCUGAGAGAUAUCAGCCUCGUUCGUCUACUGCCAUUUCGUUUGCUUGUUCCAUUGAUGAUGCAUCGAUCACGAGCGUCAAUCCUCGUUGAAAUUAGAGGUUAAUGAUAAUAUGUAGAUGAUCCUUUCGCAAGCCAAAACUCUAAAUAGUCACUCAUAAUUAAUGUGCAUAAAAAAUCACGUUUUGAUGAAAUUGACAAGAGCAACAAUUACUACAUGACGCGCACACAUUCUCUGAAUCAUCUAAAGAAAAGAAAAAAUAGGGAAAGAAGAGAAACUCUGUUUUUUUUUUUUUUUUUUUUUUUUUUUUUUUUUUUUUUUGGAGCCAUUUCUGUUUCUAUACAACAUUGUGGAACACUACAAAAUGGUCAGAGUCUAUAGCAUGGUGAUGCUUCUAUAAACCCUAUAACCCCUUCAUAUCUUGUGUGACUACGAUAUGCUUUGUGAGUUCUAUAAAAUGGUGUACAUUUUUCGGUUACUUUUUGGGUUUCGUUUAACAUGGGAUAGGUUAUCACCCUGGGAACGUGCUACACAAGUAACUGGAUCCAAAAAAUCAUAGGAGACUUGGGAGUUUUUGGGUUCAACGGUUAAAACAUAUGGUUACGAAUGAUGAUGAAAUUCAACGUUUGCCAUUAUCCCAAAACCAUUGACUUUUGUCGCGGGCCCGUUUCACGCCGUAUAUGUUCAACAUGGUUUAAGGACCACAGUUAUCAGUUUUGCGAAUUCAACAUUUUGAAAAUUGCAGAGAAACUUCUAUUUCUUUUUUAGUAAGUAAGAUUUUGAAACAAAAAACGCGUAAACACAAAAGACAAAGAAUUAGCGAUUUAAAAAAAAGAAAAUAAGAAUUGGGGAUAAUGUUUUAAGGGAAUAAGACUAUGUGAUGAACGCUUAAUUGUAUCUAAAUCAUUACCUGUAAAGUUCAUUAUUCAGGUCUUAUGGGCGAAUGGAGAUGGUGUGCUAGGUUUAUAAUAGGACCUAAGAAAACUUAGAGCUCACGAAACUAAGGACUCUGAAAGAAAAAGAAAAAAGAAAAAAGAAACCAAGGACUCAUCAGGAACUGGUGGUUUUAAGGGAUUUUUCUAGGGUUUUGCUACGCAAUUUCGUUUUGUUAAAUUUGGGCUAAUUCUGGGCUUCCAACUAAAAACCAAUUGGCAAUUAGUGGAUUGGCCCUAACCCUUUAUAUAUUAUUGGUUGUCCCAUCAAACUUCCGAUGUGGGACUUGGAUUGUAUCUCCAACAAUCUCCCCUUCAAUCCAAGGACCAUAUGGAUCUAACACGCCUCAUCGAUCCCUCACUCGGAUCGAUAAUAAGCCCCUUUCUCGGACUCCCAUUACUCGGGUUUGAGGUAUGUCCGUAUCCACUUUUCUAGGUCCACCAGAAUUUGAACCUUGGGCUCUGAUACCAUGUUAAAUUUGGGCUAAUUCUGGGCUUCCAACUAAAAACCAAUUGGCAAUUAGUGGAUUGGCCCUAACCCUUUAUAUAUUAUUGGUUGUCCCAUCAAACUUCCGAUGUGAGACUUGGAUUGUAUCUCCAACACGUUUGUAGCCUUAUGGCAUUUGCGACGUGUUUUGAUUGCUUUUUGGUUUUAUAGGUAAGAAAUUGAUUAUGAAAAAGCUAAGUAAUUUGUCCGCGGAUGAGUGUUAAUGGUACCUCGCCCCCAGCCUACUGGCCUAGUGCAUAUCUACAUUAUUAUUUGAAGGAUAUAAACAUAAUAAUACUGUAUGAACAGAAAAAAAAUGAAUUAUGACUUAAGAUUUUCAUCUUUUGUUUUGUGACAUUUUGAAAGUUUCCGAGAAACAACAAUUGCUGCUUAAAUUGGUAAGACAUGAACAGAGGUUUACACACUAAAACAAAGCUAAAAUCUUUAAGGCAAAAUGAAGCAGAGGAGUUUCUUAUCAAUCCUCUGUUUUGUCCUUCUAACCUUUGGUGUUGCUUCUGUUUCAGCACAAACAUGCAUACAGAACCGUAAAUAUUUCAUACCCAACGGUACAUACGAUUCAAAUCGUCUUCUUCUCCUCUCUACUCUUCCUAACAAUACCGCGUCUCAAGAUGGUUUCUACUACGGUUCUAUUGGAGAAGAGCAGGAUCGAGUCUACGCAUUAGGGAUGUGCAUCCCAAGAUCAACUCCAAGUGACUGUUCUAAUUGUAUCAAGGGCGCGGCAGGCUGGUUGAUACAGGAUUGUGUCAACCAGACAGACGCGUAUUAUUGGGCACUUGAUCCAACGCUUUGCCUUGUCCGCUACUCCAACAUUUCUUUCUCAGGAUCUGCAGCUUUUUGGGAAACUACACCGCAGUAUUUGGUCUUGAACACUGCAACUAUCGCCUCAGAUCUAACAGAGUUCAAGACAAUAUGGGAAGACUUAACAUCUCGUAUGAUUACUGCAGCCUCCGCAGCAAGAAGAACACCAUCAUCCAGUGACAACCAUUACAGAGUUGAUUUUGCGAACUUGACAAAAUUCCAGAAUAUAUAUGCAUUAAUGCAAUGCACGCCAGAUAUUUCUUCUGACGAAUGUAACAGCUGUCUCCAACAAGGCGUACUUGAGUACCAGUCAUGCUGUGGAAAUAAUACAGGAGGCUAUGUUAUGCGGCCAAUCUGCUUUUUUCGGUGGCAGCUUUUUACAUUCUCUAAGGCUUUUGAUAACAUUACCCUGGCUACUCCUCCUUCUCCUCCUCUUUCUCCUCCUCCACUGCAACGUCCUGUGGUUGCGUCACAACCACCUUCUGCCAAGGACCGGCCCAAGACUACAGACAAUAGUAAGUCCAUGCAAAGUUAUGACUUGUUCAAAGAUUCUGCAGGGAGAGGAAAUAUCUCAAUGAAAACUAUUGUAGCAAUUGUUGUGGUUGUUUUAGUCAUUGUCAUCAUCUUGGCACUUCUCGCUUGCCGGUUUGCUCGGAAAGGAAAACCAUAUCAAGAAGUUGAACUUAAUCAAAGUGAGUGUUGUUCAUUUGAUUUUAUUUGGCCUUUUAGCAAAUAUAUAGUAUAUAGAACUAUAACUAAGACAAUUUAUUACACUGUAGCUGGUAUUACAACUGUACGGUCCCUGCAAUAUAAAUUUAAGACGAUCAAAUCUGCAACAAAGAAAUUUUCAGACAAAAUCGGCCAAGGUGGAUUUGGAAGUGUUUUCAAGGUAUCAUUUCUUUAGCCACGAACUAAGUUCAUGACUUCUCUUGAAAAAAAAAAGGAAUUACAGAGUCAAAGUAAUCUAAAAAUUGAACUUACAGAGCCAUGUUGACGCAUUGAUGUUAUUUGUAGGGUAUGUUGCCUGAUGGAAAAGAAAUUGCAGUGAAGAGGUUGUCAAAAUCAUCAGAACAAGGUGAGAAAGAGUUCAAGAACGAGGUUGUUGUUGUCGCCAAACUUCAGCAUAGAAAUCUUGUUAGACUUCUCGGUUUUUCUGUCAAAGGAGAAGAAAAGAUACUAGUGUACGAGUUUGUGCCCAACAAAAGUCUUGAUUGUUUCCUUUCUGGUAAGCUUACAUUUUCUAAAACCUUUGUUCUUAAUCUUAUAGUCUAAUGGGUCUAUAUGAAAUUUGCAGACCCUAUAAAGCAAAGAGAGUUAGACUGGACAAAGCGGUAUAUGAUCAUUGGAGGAAUUGCUAAAGGGAUUCAAUAUCUUCAUCAUGGUUCACGGAUCAAAAUCAUACAUCGUGACCUCAAAGCAGAAAACAUACUCUUGGAUGGUGAUAUGAACCCGAAGAUUUCUGAUUUUGGAAUGGCAAGGAUCUUUGGGAUGGAUCAAACUAGAGCUAACACAAGAAGGAUUGUUGGAACUGAGUAAAAUGCUUUUAUUACCCUUGAUAGCUUAUGAACUGAAGUUUCAAGAAUCUUUUCUUCACCAAUGUUACAAUUAAUCUUGCAGAGGUUAUAUGCCCCCAGAGUAUAGGAUCGACGGGCAAUUCUCAAUGAAAUCUGAUGUGUAUAGCUAUGGAGUCUUAGUUCUUGAGAUUAUAUGCGGCAAGAAGAACAGGAACUUCUGCCCUCCGGCUCCAAAUUUGGUCACAUACGUGAGUACCAAGAAAAAAUCAAAUCUUAGAGUAUGAUCCUAUCUAGUUGUUGGUUGAUGAUUAAUUUAUGUUACAGGCUUGGAGGUUAUGGAGAGACGGGGCACCAUUAGAACUCGUGGAUCCAAUCAUUUCAGAGAAUUGUCCAACCGAAGAAGUGAUAAGAUGCAUCCACAUUGCGCUCUUAUGUGUUCAAGAAAAUCCUACAGAUCGUCCCGACAUUUCGAUAAUCAUGUCGAUGCUCACUAGCAAUUCCGUCAUCUUACCUGUUCCUGAACCACCUGGAUUCUUCAUUUCAAAUACACAAUACCAAUCUACGAGGAGGUCCAAUUCCCAAACUAUCAAUGAUGAAACUUGAUCCUCGCUGAAGAUGAUGUUCCAUUGAAACAUUGAAACUGUUGUAAGUAAACUAUAUUUUCUGGUAUUUCAGUUUGAACUGUAAUGAAUUAUUCAAAAGUUAUGUAUGUGUAAAUUGUGAGAUACUCAUCAAAGUAGUUAUGUACACUUUUAGCAUUUUCUAUUUUUUACAUUCUUAUACCAGCUCUUUGUUAUAAAAUCCUUGUAUGAAUUUUAUCAAUUUACUUACUUAACCGGUCCUCUCUAGCCGGGGCUCACUCAAUUUGAUGCUUAUCUUGGUUAUAAAAUCCGUAGAUAGUUGCUCAAACAUUGCCUUCAAUCACUUUGAUGCUCACUAGUAACACAAUUACUCUACCAAUGCCUCAAAAACCAGAGACCUGAUCAAGACUUUGUAGCCUGUCCUACUCUGUUAUACUCUGUUCUUAAUUAACUCAAGUUUUAGAACAAAAAAAAUUGUUUCAAAAAGAUUUUCUAAAACUUGAAUUAUAAAAUAAAAUAUUAAAAUCCUCUAAACUGUUUUUUUUUUUUUUUUUUUUACCUGUAUCAAUAUACCAAUCCAAACCGGUUUAUUUAGUUAACCGGUCGUCGACGUCUUCUUCAGCCGGGGCUGGAACGCGUUUUGGGAAUUUUUUCAUUAAGGGUUUCGCUUUCAGAUUUAGUGGCGAUCUAAAGUUGAUGGCUUUUCGAUUCCAACUAUAUUUAUGGGAAUUAGGGUUUCAUCUGUUAGUUAUAUGCUUGCAAUUGACGAUUUGUUGCUGAUUACUCUGUUUCAUCGAAUCAAAAUUCUCCAACUUUCCUUUUUUCGGAAUCAUGUUCUUCUUGUCUUGUUCUUGUCUGAUAUCGUCUAAAUAUUCUUUACAUGAAUUAUUUAUUCAAAGACUUUUCGACGAUAAUGCCAGUGGCAAUCGUUUAGUAGUUAAUGUAAUAGACAGGACCAGUGAUGGGUCAAUAUCAUUCCUUUCGGUCCCAUUGCAAUUUGCAGAUUAAUGUCAAUAAUGCUACUAAUGUGCAAUCCUCUCUGUCAAAAAUUGGAACUUUAUGAGUGAAGUCAUUAUAAAGUGACAAUGGACUCACAUGUAUGCAGACAGAUCCUCCAAAUCUUCGAAAAUGAAACAGAUGAGUCUCUUGUGGUUUGUUCUUGUUAGCUUUAGUGUUGCUUCUGCACAACCAUGCGUGAACAACGGGUUUUUUAGACCCAAUAGUACAUAUGACAUUAACCGUGCUCUCGUCCUCUCUACUCUUGCUUCAAAUGUCAGGGCUCGUAACGGUUUCUAUAAUGCAUCGAUUGGCCAAGAACUUGAUCGAGUGUAUGGAGUGGGGAUGUGUAUCCCUGGCGCUGAACCAGAGCUGUGCUUAGAUUGUAUCGAGAAGGCGUCUGACGGGUUAUUACAGAGCUGUCCUAACCAAACAGAAGCCUUUACAUGGUCUGGUGGAGGUAAAACUCUUUGUAUGGUACGUUACUCCAACCGUUCAUUAUCUGGAUCACUUGAUAUGGACCCUCCUUCAAAAGGGUACAAUGAUGGGGAUAUCAAAUCUAAUGUAACAGAGUUUAAUAGAAUUUGGGAAGAGUUAACGCUUAGAAUGAUAGUCGAGGCUUCUACAGGCAAGGAUGCAUCAAUAUUGUCUAAUCAUAAGUACUAUGCAGCCGACAUAGCAGCGUUGACAGCUUUCCAGAAUAUAUACGCAUUAAUGCAAUGCACACCGGAUUUAUCUUCGACAAACUGUAAAACCUGUCUGUUGAAAAGUGUUGGUGACUAUCAAACCUGCUGCCAUGGGAAGCAAGGUGGAUAUGUAUUUAGGCCAAGCUGUAUUUUCCGGUGGGAUCUGUAUCCCUUUAACGGGGCUUUUGAUCAUAUUACAUCGACAGCGCCACCAUCAUCUCGUCCAGCACCUCCGCCUCAAGUGCCAGCUUCUAUGGAACUUACUAAAACCCAUAAAGGUAAAUACUUCAAUACCAAACUUUGAUUGCAAGAAACUGUCAGAACAUAAAGUUUGUCUAGUGUACUAAAAGUUGGCCCCAAGAUUUGAAGAUGAGACGGUUUCAGAACAAUAUGCUUUUUUGUUUUUCUCAGCGUGUAAAUUGUCUUCUAUGUUUGGCUUCCACAGAUAAUAAAACAAUCUCAAAAGGAGUCGUCAUGGCAAUUGUUGUUCCGGCUGUAAUUACCUUCUUGGUAUUGGCUGCUCUAGGAUUUGCUGUUUGCGGGAGGAGGAAGUCAUACCAAUCACUUGAUCGUCAGAGUGAGUUGUUUCACACGUUUUUCAUCAUUUACUUUAUCCUUUUUUCCAGAUAUAUAUGGUCUGCGUUUGCAGAUUCUUGGUGGAUUUUAAAGUGAAAAGACCUAUACGUUCCUGUAUGCAGCUGGCAUUGAUAUUACAACUACACAUUCACUGCAAUUUGAUUUGAAGACAAUCGAAGCUGCAACAGAUAAGUUUUCAGAGAGGAACAAGAUUGGUCAGGGUGGAUUUGGAGAAGUUUUCAAGGUAUAUUUUCUUAGACUUUCUGCUUUCUUUAAUCUCCUAGAGAGUUUGGAUAACACAUCCAAGUGAAGUUAUAUUCUUUGUAGGGUGUGCUUCCAGACGGGACAGAAGUUGCUGUGAAAAGGCUGUCAAAAACAUCGAGUCAAGGCGCACGAGAGUUCAAGAACGAGGCUGUUCUGGUGGCAAAGCUUCAGCACAGAAACCUGGUUAGGCUGCUUGGUUUUUGUUUGGAAGGAGAAGAGAAGAUACUUGUCUACGAGUUUGUACCUAACAAAAGCCUCGACUACUUCCUGUUUGGUGAGUCCAAUUUAAUACAUAUAUUGGGAGAAUCAUAAUGAUCCCUCAUAAUUAACUUGUGUUUCAAAUGAUUUUAUAUUUACAUACAGAUCUUUCAAAACAAGGCCAGUUGGACUGGAAAACACGUUACAAUAUCAUUGGCGGGAUUGCUCGUGGAAUUCUCUAUCUUCAUCAAGAUUCACGACUCACAAUCAUACACCGCGACCUCAAAGCGAGUAACAUUCUCUUAGAUGCUGAUAUGAACCCAAAAAUUGCUGACUUUGGAAUUGCAAGGCUUUUUGAGAUGGACCAAACUCAAGCUGAAACGAGCAGGAUAGUUGGAACCUAGUAAAAAAAUUUCCCUUGUCUGCAUUUAUAACUGAAGUUUGAAUUGCAAUAAUUUUAGGAUGGACAAUACUCUUGUUGUGGGUGAAGUUAUGUUUUUUUUUUUUUUUCUUGUUCUGCCAG